This 253-nucleotide ribosomal RNA is filed under the name uncultured bacterium. RNAcentral's name for it is "partial 16S ribosomal RNA". It matches the Rfam family "Bacterial small subunit ribosomal RNA", at positions 524 to 776 of the family's 1533-position model. The record is from RNAcentral.
UACGGAGGGGGCUAGCGUUGUUCGGAAUUACUGGGCGUAAAGCGCGCGUAGGCGGACCUGCAAGUCGGGGGUGAAAGCCCGAGGCUCAACCUCGGAACUGCCUUCGAUACUGCGGGACUCGAGUCCGGGAGAGGUGAGUGGAAUUCCUAGUGUAGAGGUGAAAUUCGUAGAUAUUAGGAAGAACACCAGUGGCGAAGGCGGCUCACUGGCCCGGUACUGACGCUGAGGCGCGAAAGCGUGGGGAGCAAACGGG